RNAcentral lists this ribosomal RNA (431 nucleotides) under uncultured bacterium. RNAcentral describes it as "partial 16S ribosomal RNA". It matches the Rfam family "Bacterial small subunit ribosomal RNA", at positions 29 to 507 of the family's 1533-position model. The record is from RNAcentral.
AACGAACGCUGGCGGCAGGCCUAACACAUGCAAGUCGAGCGCCCCGCCAGGGGAGCGGCGGACGGGUGAGUAACGCGUGGGGAGAUGCCCUUUGCUACGGAAUAGUCUCGGGAAACUGGGGGUAAUACCGUAUACGCCCUCUGGGGGAAAGGUUUAUCGGGGAAGGAUUAGUCCGCGUUGGAUUAGGUGGUUGGUAGGGUAAUGUCCUAGCAAGCCGACGAUCCAUAGCUGGUUUGAGAGGAUGAUCAGCCACACUGGGGCUGAGACACGGCCCAGACUCCUACGGGAGGCAGCAGUGGGGAAUCUUAGACAAUGGGGGCAGCCCUGAUCUAGCCAUGCCGGGUGAGUGAUGAAGGCCUUAGGGUUGUAAAGCUCUUUCAGCUGGGAAGAUAAUGACGGUACCAGCAGAAGAAGCCCCGGCUAACUCCGUG